GUGUUGGGAGCCUGGCGCGGGCCGGGCGGCGUCGGUUGGGCCUCGGCUGCGGGCGUGGAGACUGCGGGAGGGGCGGCGACGACCACCGACUCGACGGGCCCGACAGCUGCGGCGCCGGCACCAAGGAGACCCCACGGCCGGCAGCGCCUGUCACGUGACCCGCGCCGCGCCCGCCGUCACGUGAGCCGCGGAUCUCGCGAGAGCGCGCCCGUCGUGCGCCGGGGCUCGACGCCCGCAGGGGCCGGGUCUCCCGGACGUCCCCCGCCGUCUGCGCGCGUGACCUGGCCCGGCACGUGACUGUGGGGCCACGUGACCGGCCGCGCCCCCUCCUCCCCGGCCCGCCCCGGGCUCCGGGGGUCUCCGCGCGAAACGGAAAGUGCGGUGGCUCCGGGAAGAGGAAGGAGAAAGGCCGCGGCGGGGGAAAGCCACAGCAGAGAGCUGGAGCAGAAGUGGAGCAGCCCGGACGUGAGGCAGCCCCGCACGCCCAGGCUGACCCUGCUAGGCACAGUGUGCCGGCUUCCUGUGGGACCUCACCGCCAUCGUCUAGGCACAGUGUGCCGGCUUCCUGUGGGACCUCACCGCCAUCGUCUAGGCACAGUGUGCCGGCUUCCUGUGGGACCUCACCGCCAUCGUCUAGGCACAGUGUGCCGGCUUCCUGUGGGACCUCACCGCCAUCAUCGCACCUAACCGGGGAGCCCUGCACAGUGAGGCCGCGUGUCUGCCUUUCGCCAGGGCUGGUGCACAGGUACACACACUUGCAGACGGUGGCCGUUGGCAGGUCCGUCACUGAAAGGAAGACGUGA
This 803-nucleotide long non-coding RNA is filed under the name Oryctolagus cuniculus (rabbit). RNAcentral describes it as "lncRNA (ENSOCUG00000029834.1)". The record is from RNAcentral. Lineage: Eukaryota; Metazoa; Chordata; Mammalia; Lagomorpha; Leporidae.